RNAcentral lists this long non-coding RNA (440 nucleotides) under Cercocebus atys (sooty mangabey). RNAcentral describes it as "lncRNA (ENSCATG00000045885.1)". The record is from RNAcentral. Lineage: Eukaryota; Metazoa; Chordata; Mammalia; Primates; Cercopithecidae.
CCAAGCUCCCGGCAGGCUGCGCGGCGCUCCUGGCGUGCACCUUGGCGUGCGGAGCUGGCACCUUGGCGCCGUGGGCGGCGGCGGGGACAGCUGUAGAGUGUGAAGUUCCUUGUCUGCUGGCAGCCAGAGGCGACGAGUCUGGAUGUCAUGGAAGUGAAGGAUGCCAAUUCUGCGCUUCUCAGUAACUACAAGGUAAAUUGAACUGUUACAUUUUCCUCUCUGAUAAUUUGCCCUUUGUAACUAAGAUUGUUGAAUUCAUUUUGAUUAGAAAUGACUGAAUUCAGGCCAGUUGCAAUGGCUCACGCUUAUAAUCACAGUACUUUGGGAGGCCGAGGCAGGUGGAUCAUUUGAGGUCAGGAGUUCAAAACCAGCCUGGCCAACAUGGUGAAACCCAAUCUUUACUAAAAAUACAAAAAUUAGCCAGGUGGGGUGGCACGUGC